AACCUGGUUGAUCCUGCCAGUAGUCAUAUGCUUGUCUCAAAGAUUAAGCCAUGCAUGUCUAAGUUUAAGCGUUUAGUACAGCGAGACUGCGGAUGGCUCAUUAAGUCAGUUAUAGUUUAUUUGAUGGUCGACUUUUUUUACUACAUGGAUAACCGUGGUAAUUCUAGAGCUAAUACAUGCGCAAAGUCCUAACUAGUGUAGCAAUACAAUUGGAAAGGAUGUAUUUAUUAGAUUAAAAACCAAUACAGGUUUCGGCCUGACAAACAUUGGUGAUUCAUAAUAACUCAAACGAAUCGCAAUUAAUAACCUUUACGGGUUGGCGAUAGUUCAUUCAAAUUUCUGCCCUAUCAACUUUGGAUGGUAGUAUAGAGGACUACCAUGGUGAUCACGGGUAACAGAGAAUUAGGGUUCGAUUCUGGAGAGGAAGCCUGAGAAACGGCUACCACUUCUAAGGAAGGCAGCAGGCGCGCAAAUUACCCAAUCCCGACACGGGGAGGUAGUGACAAUAAAUAACAAUACAGGUCUAUUUACAUAGUCGUGUAAUUGGAAUGAGAGCAAAGUAAAUACCUCAGCGAGUAACAAUUGGAGGGCAAGUCUGGUGCCAGCAGCCGCGGUAAUUCCAGCUCCAAUAGCGUAUAUUAAAGUUGUUGCAGUUAAAGAGCUCGUAGUUGGAUCUUGAAGUACUUACUAUGAACAUUUGGUCCGUUCGUCAAGAAUGAGCACUGAUGUUGGUACUUCCAUAUUUUAUCAGUUUCAACCUCUGUUAUUUAGUUAAUGGAAGGAAUCAAUUGAACUGAUACAUUUACUUUGAAAAAAUUAGAGUGUUCAAAGCAGACAAGUUAUUGUCAUUGAAUAGUUCAGCAUGGGAUAAUAGAAUAAGAUUAUGUUUUAAUUUUGGUUGGUUUCUUACAACAUAAUAAUGAUUAAUAGGAAUGGUCGGGGGCAUUGGUAUUUAGUUGUCAGAGGUGAAAUUCAUAGAUUUACUGCAGACCAACAACGGCGAAAGCAUUUGUCAAGGACAUUUUCAUUAAUCAAGAACGAAAGUUUGGGGAUCGAAGACGAUCAGAUACCGUCGUAGUCCAAACCAUAAACUAUGUCGACCAAGGAUCGGAAGGUGUUAAGUUUCAAUGACUCUUUCGGCACUUUGUGAGAAAUCACAAGUUUUUGGAUCCUGGGGGGAGUAUGGUCACAAGGCAGAAACUUAAAGGAAUUGACGGAAGGGCACACCAGAUGUGGAACCUGCGGCUUAAUUUGACUCAACACGGGAAAACUCACCAGGUCCAGACAUUAUAAGGAUUGACAGAUUAAAGCUCUUUCUUGAUUCUAUGGGUGGUGGUGCAUGGCCGUUCUUAGUUCGUGGAGUGAUUCGUCUGGUUAAUUCCGAUAACGAACGAGACCUUAACCUGCUAACUAGUUAUGUUGAUUCUGCUAUUAAAAACCAUUUACUUUUCAGGUUCAUUACUUGUAGUGGAUUGGGAUUGGAACUGGCAGUUGAAUCGAUAGCAAUACUUCUUAGAGGGACUAUCAGGCAAUACAACUGGGGGAAGCGUAAGGCAAUAACAGGUCUGUGAUGCCCUUAGAUGUUCUGGGCUGCACGCGCGUUACACUGACUAAAACAAAAAGUACAUACAACCUGAGGGGAUAGCUUUGGGGAAUCUUUGAACUUUAGUCGUGCUGGGGAUAGAUCAUUGGAAUUAUUGGUCUUCAACGAGGAAUAUCUAGUAAGUGUAAGUCAUUAACUUACGCUGACUACGUCCCUGCCCUUUGUACACACCGCCCGUCGCUCCUACCGAUUGGAUGAUGUGAUGAAACUCUCAGAGAUUGAUUUGUCACAUUAGUUGAGCAAUCGAUUAAUGAAAUCUGAUCAAAGAGAUUUGAAUCUUAUUAUCUAGAGGAAGGAGAAGUCGUAACAAGGUAUCUGUAGGUGAACCUGCAGAAGGAUCA
This 1944-nucleotide ribosomal RNA is filed under the name Endostelium amerosporum. RNAcentral describes it as "SSU rRNA". It matches the Rfam family "Eukaryotic small subunit ribosomal RNA". Lineage: Eukaryota; Discosea; Flabellinia. The record is from RNAcentral.